RNAcentral lists this ribosomal RNA (456 nucleotides) under Streptomyces canus. RNAcentral's name for it is "partial 16S ribosomal RNA". It matches the Rfam family "Bacterial small subunit ribosomal RNA", at positions 84 to 553 of the family's 1533-position model. The record is from RNAcentral. Lineage: Bacteria; Bacillati; Actinomycetota; Actinomycetes; Kitasatosporales; Streptomycetaceae.
GGUGGGGAUUAGUGGCGAACGGGUGAGUAACACGUGSGCAAUCUGCCCUUCACUCUGGGACAAGCCCUGGAAACGGGGUCUAAUACCGGAUACCACUACCGCAGGCAUCUGUGGUGGUUGAAAGCUCCGGCGGUGAAGGAUGAGCCCGCGGCCUAUCARCUUGUUGGUGAGGUAAUGGCUCACCAAGGCGACRACGGGUAKCCGGCCUGAGAGGGCGACCGGCCACACUGGGACUGAGACACGGCCCMKACUCCUACGGGAGGCAGCAGUGGGGAAUAUUGCACAAUGGGCGAAAGCCUGAUGCMGCGACGCCKCGUGAGGGAUGACGGCCUUCGGGUUGUAAACCUCUUUCAGCAGGGAARAAGCGAAAGUGACGGUACCUGCARAAGAAKCGCCKUCUAACUACGUGCCARCAGCCGCGGUAAUACUUUUUGGCGCAAGCGUUGUCCGGAAUUA